AAGUCGUAACAAGGUUUCCGUAGGUGAACCUGCGGAAGGAUCAUUACCGAGUUCAUGCCCUUACGGGUAGAUCUCCACCCUUGAAUACAAACUCUUGUUGCUUUGGCGGGCCGCUUCGGCUACUGGCUUCAGCUGGUGAGUGCCCGCCAGAGAACCCUAAACUUUGAAUUAUAGUGUCGUCUGAGUACUAUAUAAUAGUUAAAACUUUCAACAACGGAUCUCUUGGUUCUG
Molecule: unclassified non-coding RNA, 231 nt
Filed under: Cistella albidolutea
Lineage: Eukaryota; Fungi; Ascomycota; Leotiomycetes; Helotiales
Also listed under: 1 other name
Description: partial internal transcribed spacer region
Rfam family: Eukaryotic small subunit ribosomal RNA (bases 1-46)
Source: RNAcentral